CAGGAGGAGCUGUUCAACAUAAGGAACGAUAAGCUUGGUGGGAAAAGGAAUGUUAAAGUCAUCUCCACAGCACAGGAGGCACAUUACAUGUUUAUUGAAUGUAACUCCAGCUCCAUUGGUUGAUGCCUUCAUCCAAGAUCCCUGAAUGUCCCCAGUGUCAAAAGAAGAGCCUAAUAAUAAAGGCACCAACAGCAUACACCCCAAUAGUUAUAUAUAUUCUCCAAAGAGAAUCCUGACAGACCAGGGAAGAGAAUUCAACAAUGAG
This is a long non-coding RNA of Acipenser ruthenus (sterlet), 265 nucleotides long. RefSeq lists it as uncharacterized. The transcript is spliced from 3 exons. NCBI's taxonomy places the organism in Eukaryota, Metazoa, Chordata, Actinopteri, Acipenseriformes, Acipenseridae. The record is from RefSeq and is a predicted model, not a curated record.